CGGCACGGGUGAGUAACACGUAUCCAACCUGCCGUCUACUCUUGGCCAGCCUUCUGAAAGGAAGAUUAAUCCAGGAUGGCAUCAUGAGUUCACAUGUCCGCAUGAUUAAAGGUAUUUUCCGGUAGACGAUGGGGAUGCGUCCCAUUAGAUAGUAGGCGGGGUAACGGCCCACCUAGUCAACGAUGGAUAGGGGUUCUGAGAGGAAGGUCCCCCACAUUGGAACUGAGACACGGUCCAA
This 238-nucleotide ribosomal RNA is filed under the name uncultured bacterium. RNAcentral describes it as "partial 16S ribosomal RNA". It matches the Rfam family "Bacterial small subunit ribosomal RNA", at positions 100 to 334 of the family's 1533-position model. The record is from RNAcentral.